This 351-nucleotide unclassified non-coding RNA is filed under the name soil metagenome. Its description in RNAcentral is "partial contains 5.8S ribosomal RNA, internal transcribed spacer 2, and large subunit ribosomal RNA". The stretch from base 1 to 120 matches the Rfam family "5.8S ribosomal RNA", at positions 35 to 154 of the family's 154-position model. The record is from RNAcentral.
GAUGAAGAACGCAGCGAAAUGCGAAAAGUAAUGUGAAUUGCAGAAUUCAGUGAAUCAUCGAAUCUUUGAACGCACAUUGCGCCCGCCAGUAUUCUGGCGGGCAUGCCUGUCUGAGCGUCAUUUCAACCCUCACGCCCCUAGGGCGUGGUGUAGGGGAUCGGCCAAGGCCCGCAAGGGACGGCCGGCCCCUAAAUCUAGUGGCGGACCCAUCGUGGCCUCCCCUGCGAAGUAGUAAUAUAUUCCGCAUCGGAUAGCGAUGAGCCCCUGCCGUUAAACCCCCAACUCUUUCAAGGUUGACCUCAGAUCAGGUAGGAAUACCCGCUGAACUUAAGCAUAUCAAUAAGCGGAGGA